AACGGCCGUACCAUGCUGAAUAUACCGGUUCUCGUUAGAUCACCGAAGUCAAGCAACAUUGGGCGCGGUCAGUACUUGGGUGGGUGACCACCUGGGAACAUCGCGUGCCGUU
Molecule: ribosomal RNA, 112 nt
Filed under: Caerostris darwini
Lineage: Eukaryota; Metazoa; Arthropoda; Arachnida; Araneae; Araneidae
Source: RNAcentral